This 253-nucleotide ribosomal RNA is filed under the name uncultured bacterium. RNAcentral's name for it is "partial 16S ribosomal RNA". It matches the Rfam family "Bacterial small subunit ribosomal RNA", at positions 524 to 776 of the family's 1533-position model. The record is from RNAcentral.
UACGUAGGGGGCAAGCGUUGUCCGGAUUUAUUGGGCGUAAAGAGCGUGUAGGCGGCCAGACAGGUCCGUUGUGAAAACUCGAGGCUCAACCUCGAGACGCCGAUGGAAACCGUCUGGCUAGAGUCCGGAAGAGGAGAGUGGAAUUCCUGGUGUAGCGGUGAAGUGCGCAGAUAUCAGGAAGAACACCCGUGGCUAAGGCGGCUCUCUAGUACGGUACUGACGCUGAGACGCGAAAGCGUGGGGAGCGAACAGG